Xiphophorus maculatus (southern platyfish) is the source of this 395-nucleotide long non-coding RNA. RefSeq lists it as uncharacterized. The transcript is spliced from 3 exons. NCBI's taxonomy places the organism in Eukaryota, Metazoa, Chordata, Actinopteri, Cyprinodontiformes, Poeciliidae. The record is from RefSeq and is a predicted model, not a curated record.
GGCCCUGUGAUGGACUGGUGACCUGUCCAGGGUGAACCCCGCCUCUCAUCUGGGCUCCACCAGCCCCCUCACCACCCUGCAAGGAUCAACGUGUUCAGAUCAUGAUGGAAAGAUUUUAAGGCAAAGAAGUCACCCAAAAAUGUUUUUUCACUCCAGGCAUCCGGUCCCAAUCAUCAUCAGUUCUGAUGAUGUCACAUAUAUAGAGAGUCCACAACAUCCUAAAAUUGGAAUCCAGGGAAUGGGAAGGUUCUGUCGUAGAUCUUCACUGUUCUUAGGAAGGAGAAAUGUCAGUUUGUCUGCAGUAAUACUGUGAUACUGUGACAUCGUAUUAAAACAAUACUCUGUCCUUGGUGAAAUAUUUUUCACAUUUCCUCUAAAGUUAUCCUAUUGUUUUA